This is a non-coding RNA of Neolamprologus brichardi, 566 nucleotides long. The record is from RefSeq and is a predicted model, not a curated record. Lineage: Eukaryota; Metazoa; Chordata; Actinopteri; Cichliformes; Cichlidae.
GUCUUGCCAUCCACAAGUGAUACAGGAAAGAGAAAAUCAGACCUUCAAAGUGACACCAUCAGGUUGCAGUCACCUGCUAAGCGACAACGUCUGUCUGUGCCAGGAUUUGAAGAACCAGUCAUACUGUCCGAUGUGAAAAGCAUCAUGACAUUUGUACAUGCCAGACUAAAUAAGCAAGACAAACUCAGUGAUUUCUUAAAGAAAAAGAUCAGUGAUUUGGAGAUAGACAAGAGGGAGCUGGUUGGUGUCUUUGGUAAAACCGGGGCUGGAAAGAGCUCUUUGAUAAAUGCCAUCAUCAAAGAGAAGAAUCUUUUACCUUCAGGAAGUGUCAGUGCCUGCACCUCAGUCAUGAUCAAAGUGGAAGCUAACAGAGGUAGCUUAAAGUAUGAGGCAGAAAUUGAGUUCAUCGCAAAGGAGGAGUGGAAAGAAGAGUUGUGGUCAUUUCGUCAGUUUCUUGACAAUAAUAAAAAUCAGAAAAAGGAAGAUGAUGAUGAUUAUCGUGAUGCUGUUGAAAAGCUGUCAGCACUGUAUGGCAAAGAAUGGGAAAAGUCCUUUGAAAACCUCAU